AUUGAACGCUGGCGGCAGGCCUAACACAUGCAAGUCGAGCGAGCGGCGGACGGGUGAGUAAUGUAUGGGGACUGCCCGAUAGAGGGGGAUAACUACUGGAAAAGGUGGCUAAUACCGCAUACUGUAGGAUAACCCAUAGGGGAUUAGCUAGUAGGUAAGGUAAUGGUUUACAUAGGCGACGAUCCCUAGCUGGUCUGAGAGGAUGUUCAGCCACACUGGGACUGAGACACGGCCCAGAUUCCUACGGAGGCAGCAGUGGGGAAUAUUGCACAAUGGGCGCAAGCCUGAUGCAGCCAUGCCGCUUGUAUGAAGAAGGCCCUAGGGUUGUAAAGUACUUUCAGUCGGGAGGCGUUACCGACAGAAGAAGCACCGGCUAACUCCGUGCCAGCCGCCGCGGUAAUAC
This 403-nucleotide ribosomal RNA is filed under the name uncultured bacterium. Its description in RNAcentral is "partial 16S ribosomal RNA". It matches the Rfam family "Bacterial small subunit ribosomal RNA", at positions 30 to 526 of the family's 1533-position model. The record is from RNAcentral.